This 25-nucleotide small nuclear RNA is filed under the name Arabidopsis thaliana (thale cress). RNAcentral describes it as "snRNA_13578". The record is from RNAcentral. Lineage: Eukaryota; Viridiplantae; Streptophyta; Magnoliopsida; Brassicales; Brassicaceae.
UGGAUUGUUCACCCACCAAUAGGGA